Molecule: long non-coding RNA, 1110 nt
Filed under: Macaca mulatta (Rhesus monkey)
Lineage: Eukaryota; Metazoa; Chordata; Mammalia; Primates; Cercopithecidae
Description: lncRNA (ENSMMUG00000064351.1)
Source: RNAcentral
GUUAAUUAUCGGUCAGGCGCAGUGACUCACACCUGUAAUCCCAGCAUUUUGGGAGUCCGAGGCAGGCGGAUCACCUGAGGUUGGAAGUUCAAGACCAGCCUGACCAACAUGGAGAAAACCCACCUCUACUAAAAAUACAAAAUUAGUCAGGCGUGGUGGUGCAUGCCUGUAAUCCCAGCUACUUUGGAGGCUGAGGUGGGAGAAUUGCUUGAACCUGGGAGGCGGAGGUUGCAGUGAGCCGAGAUUGGGCCAUUCCACUCCAGCCUGGGCAACAAGAGUGAAACUAUGUCUCAAAAAAAAAAAGUUAAUUCUCAGUCACCUAUAAGUCCAAAAUAGGUGUUCCUGGCCUGAUGUCUUUUCUCUAAAUAGUGACGCAGACAUCUAGGUCUUCUCUAUCUUUUGGUGACCAUCCAUCUUGCAGGGCCAGAAGCUGAGAUAGGAAGUAUUUUAGUUAACUUUUACUGUGUAAUAAAUUACCCCUAGAUUUAGAAGCUUAAAAAGACAUGCACAUGAGCUGUCUAUUCAUUUUCUUUGCUGCACAGUCUGACAUUGGGAUUGUUUACCUUGAUGGCCAGAUGGGCUGCUUUUUCCAAAGUAGCUUUGCAGUUCUUGGAAGAGACAUGAUGAACAAUCUUAAUGCAGCAAGAUUUGCUGCACAUCACAUCUGGGGCUGCAUUCAUCUCAAAGCUCAACUGGAAGAGGAUUUACUUGCAAGCUCACUUCCACCACAGUGUCAGAAAGAAGAUUGGACUCACAGUGGAGAGAAAAGGAGGCUAAGAAGAUACUGAAAUGAGCUGAGUAUAUUUUUAAUAGCUUCUAACUGUAAUUUCUCUCUUGACUUCUGGACACAGAUUUGUCAAAGAAGCCACAGUUAGAAUAGGACAAACUGUGAGUUUCAGUAACUUCAUUCAGAUUAGGGGUAGAGAAAUGGUCUCAGGGAUUUAACUCUGGGAAGGCAUUCCUGAUCUUCAGACAUAACUAAGCCAUGCCAUGGAUUUAAUUCAGUCAAAACGUUUUACGUUGAACCGUUUAACUGGAAGUGGAUACAUUAUUUUGUGGAUUCAAUUGUUCCCAAAAGCCUGGUACUGUGAGACAUUCCGUCAUAAGUCG